This 405-nucleotide ribosomal RNA is filed under the name uncultured bacterium. RNAcentral describes it as "bacterial SSU rRNA". It matches the Rfam family "Bacterial small subunit ribosomal RNA", at positions 29 to 417 of the family's 1533-position model. The record is from RNAcentral.
AUUGAACGCUGGCGGCAUGCCUUACACAUGCAAGUCGGACGGCAGCACGAUUAGAGGAGGGCAACUGAAUCUGAUGGGUGGCGAGUGGCGAACGGGUGAGUAAGAUAUCGGAACGUACCUUAGAGAGGGGGAUAACUCGUUGAAAGAUGAGCUAAUACCGCAUAAGAUCUGUGGAUGAAAGUGGGGGACUGUAAAAGGCCUCACGCUGUAAGCGCGGCCGAUAACUGAUUAGCUAGAUGGUGGGGUAAAGGCUUACCAUGGCGACGAUCAGUAGCUGGUCUGAGAGGACGACCAGCCACACUGGAACUGAGAGACGGACCAGACUCCUACGGGAGGCAGCAGUGGGGAAUUUUGGACAAUGGGCGUAAGCCUGAUCCAGCAAUGCCGCGUGAGUGAAGAAGGCCU